GAAAUAAGUGAAACAAAAGUAAGCUUCUAACUUAACUUUUAAGCAAUGAAAUUUGUUUUUAUUUCU
Molecule: transfer RNA, 66 nt
Filed under: Mandarella nipponensis
Lineage: Eukaryota; Metazoa; Arthropoda; Insecta; Coleoptera; Chrysomelidae
Description: tRNA-Ser
Source: RNAcentral